Nicotiana tabacum (common tobacco) is the source of this 466-nucleotide non-coding RNA. The record is from RefSeq and is a predicted model, not a curated record. Lineage: Eukaryota; Viridiplantae; Streptophyta; Magnoliopsida; Solanales; Solanaceae.
AAACCUCAAAGCCCUAACAUAUUGGGGAUUCUAAAAUUGGCUCCAUCUUUUACCAAACUUAGUCUAAUUUUAGUCAAAUUUGAUUUCCAUCACCGCAAUAUACUCCCUCUCUACAAAUUGUGCUAUGUAUGGAGAGUAUGAGAGAUUUAGAAGGAAAAGAUUUUGGCGGUUUAAGGAAACAGAGAAAGGGAGGCAAGCUAUUGGAAGAACAUUGAUGUAGGGUUCAGACUCUUGGUGAGGCUUUUGCAGGUUUUUGAUAACUCACAUGAAGAUCACCAACAAUAAUUAUCACCGGUUUCAGUUGUUCACAAAAAUAAGAACUUCUGAAGGAUAAUAAGAUCAAUUAUUGGCAAGGAAUACUUGGAUUGUGGAAAGAUGGAUCCAUACAUAAAGCCUUGCUUCAGAAUUUAUUCUGGAAUUUAAGGGAAUUCGUUUAGAUUAGAAGUGAAUUUGACAUAGUUCCAUG